Molecule: ribosomal RNA, 822 nt
Filed under: Triticum aestivum (bread wheat)
Lineage: Eukaryota; Viridiplantae; Streptophyta; Magnoliopsida; Poales; Poaceae
Description: partial small subunit ribosomal RNA
Source: RNAcentral
AUGGCGACUAAGCUCGCAGCGCUCGUCGUCUUGGCCGCGUUCCUCGCCGGGCCGGCGGCGUGCAAGGGCGCCAUCAUGUGCUUCAACGGCUGGCUGAGGCUACCCACCUACAACCAGAGUUUUGGAUUUCGUCCGAAGAAAACGAAGUCCGUCCGAAAUUCGUCCAUCCCGUUUGGGCCCGGGCUUGGCCACGGCUACUACGACAACAGGUGGUCGAGGUUGUACUGCCCCAGAGCGGAAGGGAUUGUGAGGGGUGCCGUGAGGGACGCCGUGGCCGCGUACCCUGGCAUUGGUGCGGGGCUCAUCCGUCUCUUCUUCCAUGACUGCUUCGUUCGGGGGUGUGAUGCUUCCGUCCUCCUCACAACGACCAACUCCAAUAACAGCGACACGGAGAGGGAAGGCCUUCCGAACAAGAACAGCCUGCGAAGGUUCGAGGUGAUCGACGCGGCCAAGGCGGCGAUCGAGGCCGCCUGCCCCGGCAAGGUCUCGUACGCCAACAUUGUCGCCUUCGCCGCCCGCGACGCGUCCUACUUCCUCAGCAACCGCAGGAUCAACAUCCGGAUGCCGGGUGGCUGCUACGACGGGCGCGAGUCCUUCGCCAACAAGACCGACCAGCUGCCCGGGCCCUUCUCCAAUGUCACGGAGCUCCAGGCGAGUUUCGUGGCCAAGGGGCUCACCUCAGACGAGAUGGUCACGCUCUCCGGCGCGCACACAAUCGGCCGUGCCCGCUGCAUGUUCUUCUCCAGCCGCUUCUCUGAAAUGGACCCGACAUUUGCCGCCAAGCUCAGGACCAGUGCAACGGCAACGACGACACCAAUGUGA